CAUAACGUGGAAGGGGAUUUAGGGUUCACCUGGUUGUGACGUUCCCAAUUCCUUCUUCAGACUCCUUCGUAUUCGCUCUUCUCUAGCGAAACCCCAAACGGCGCCGCUUCAACCUUCCUCUCCGGCGAAACAAAAUCUAACGCCGCCAUGAGCCGAGCCACACGCAACUCUCUUCCUUGCCUCUCAUCUCAAACUCAAACUCUCAUAAUCAAACCAAAAGAAGAACCCUAGAUUCGAUAAGAAAAAUCUCCAAUUUCUGAUGCCGAAAUCAAAUUGUGGCGUGAAGGACUUAUGGUGAAGAUGAUGAUGAAUUUUCCCGAUUGAAGAUGAAGAUCGAAUGGGAAGAGUUUGGUGAUGAGAAUUCAGAUGAUUUGCGAAAUUGAUGACGAACAGAUGAAGAUGAUUGCAACUCUGAUGCGUGUUGAAGAUUGAUUGAGGGAUGAUUCUGGUGAAAGGAACGAAGGUUGAUGAUGAAGAAGUUAUGAAGGUGAUAAUUAUGUAUGGUAUGAAGCAGAGAAUGAAGAUAAUGGAGGUGGAGAAGGAUAAAGAGUGGAAUCUGCCAAAUGGCGGAGAAAGAUGAAGAUGGUGAAUGAAGUGUGU
This is a long non-coding RNA of Vicia villosa (hairy vetch), 600 nucleotides long. RefSeq lists it as uncharacterized. The record is from RefSeq and is a predicted model, not a curated record. NCBI's taxonomy places the organism in Eukaryota, Viridiplantae, Streptophyta, Magnoliopsida, Fabales, Fabaceae. The transcript has 3 exons.